This 28-nucleotide small RNA is filed under the name Bombyx mori (domestic silkworm). Its description in RNAcentral is "ovarian small RNA-30364". Lineage: Eukaryota; Metazoa; Arthropoda; Insecta; Lepidoptera; Bombycidae. The record is from RNAcentral.
UGAAAAUGUCCAGUUCAGGGAAUUCAGC